This 587-nucleotide ribosomal RNA is filed under the name uncultured bacterium. RNAcentral's name for it is "bacterial SSU rRNA". It matches the Rfam family "Bacterial small subunit ribosomal RNA", at positions 338 to 916 of the family's 1533-position model. The record is from RNAcentral.
CCUACGGGAGGCAGCAGUGGGGAAUUUUGGACAAUGGGCGAAAGCCUGAUCCAGCCAUGCCGCGUGAGUGAAGAAGGCCUUCGGGUUGUAAAGCUCUUUCAGCCGGAAAGAAAUCGCGCAGGAUAAUACUCUGCGUGGAUGACGGUACCGGAAGAAGAAGCACCGGCUAACUACGUGCCAGCAGCCGCGGUAAUACGUAGGGUGCGAGCGUUAAUCGGAAUUACUGGGCGUAAAGCGUGCGCAGGCGGUUAUGUAAGACAGAUGUGAAAUCCCCGGGCUCAACCUGGGAACUGCGUUUGUGACUGCAUAACUAGAGUACGGCAGAGGGAGGUGGAAUUCCGCGUGUAGCAGUGAAAUGCGUAGAUAUGCGGAGGAACACCGAUGGCGAAGGCAGCCUCCUGGGCCAGUACUAACGCUCAUGCACGAAAGCGUGGGGAGCAAACAGGAUUAGAUACCCUGGUAGUCCACGCCCUAAACGAUGUCAACUAGUUGUUCGGUGAGGAGACUCAUUGAGUAACGCAGCUAACGCGUGAAGUUGACCGCCUGGGGAGUACGGCCGCAAGGUUAAAACUCAAAUGAAUUGACGG